Molecule: RNA transcript, 2009 nt
Organism: Oncorhynchus keta (chum salmon)
Lineage: Eukaryota; Metazoa; Chordata; Actinopteri; Salmoniformes; Salmonidae
Gene name: PSME3-interacting protein-like
Exons: 9
Source: RefSeq, a predicted model, not a curated record
CCACAGCCUUCAGUUGUUUUAUCAGCAUACCGGUAGUUAUUUUACUCUGAAAAUGUAUACUGCAGUUCAAAUAAUGGUUCGUUGGAGUUACACUAUUUUAGACACUAUAUAAGUAUGUAUUAUCAUAGAUUGCUACAAUUAUUCAGCCCAUCGAAGAUCGGAUUAAACUAUCGCCCUUGGUCCUUCACAAACUAUAGUAUGCGCGGAGCAUAUUUACUGUGACACGACGAGGCUCCGUGGAUUAGAUGAUUUCUUGACUUGGUGUCUGUUGUCUACUUGGUUGAGUUGAGACAAAUAAAGAGGGAGAUGGCAGUGCCAGCGGCCGGGGGCGUAGACCUCAGUCGGAAAUUUGUGUCAGAGACUGUGAUCGAGGAGAAGAGGAAGCAAAUCCAGGAGGAAUGGGAAAAAGUUAGGAAGCCAGAGGACCCAGAGGAGGCUCCUGAGGAAGAGUAUGAUGGGCGUUCACUCUUUGAGCGGCUACAGGAGCAGAAGGACAAGAAGCAGGAGGAGUAUGAUGAGCAGUUUAAAUUCAAGAACAUGGUCAAAGGCCUGGAUGAGGAUGAGUCUCACUUCUUGGAUGAGGUCUCCAGGCAACAGAGCCUGGUGGAGAAACAACGCAGAGAUGAGGAGCAGCAUGAGCUAAAAGAGUACAGAAGUGCUCUGAAAAAGCUGGCAUCCAGUGAGAGUCGGAAGGAGCCAGAGAGGAGAGUGGGACCGAGACCAGCUGAGGUCAAGACCAGUCACCUGUCCCAGGCCCAUCUGUUGGCCGGGGCAGUCAAGCGACGCAGCUCAUCACAGUCCUCAGACAAUAGCAAGAAACAGAAGGUUGAGGAGUCUGCAGCAUGGAAUGGGGGCCAGACAGGAGGCGGGCGGAGAUGCGGGUAAGCAGACCUCCACAGUAAAGACGACAGGCAUCCUCCACCUGCCAUCGGCCGCCGUGUGUGUAGGCAUCCUGCCGGGCCUGGGAGCCUAUUCCGGCAGCAGUGACUCUGAGUCCAGUAGCGACAGCGAAGCCUAACCUGAUGACAUCCCCCUGCGGCUGCAAGCUGUGUGCUAUUGGCCAAGGGAACAGUGACUGACAGCUUGGGAUCAAGGACAGGACUGCCACAUCACAUUCAUACCAAACCUUAGAAAACAUCAAGAAAGCAAGCCUGAGCUUUGUGGGCAGUCUCAGAUGCAAUGUGUGUGGAAAUAUUUUUCCUUUUAUUUUUGUGUAUUUUUGAAUGUGUCAGUGCAAAUAAUUCUGGAUUUGAAUGGACUUCUCUCCAUUGAAAUGUGUGUUUUGCUCAUUGGAAGGUCGAGGCUUGGGGAGAAGAAAGCAAAGCGUUUUCUUUGUGUAUUUGGUGUGAAGAGUUGAAUAAUGAAUGAAUGAUAAAUGGAAUGGAAUACAGUUUGAAUAAAAUGGAAGUGAUUUCUGUUUGUACUCAUUCACGUGAAGUCUAUAACCAAUAAGAAUAGAAUGUAGGAAUAGGUUUCUCAGGGUGCUCUUUGUAGGAAGCCUUGUUGGUAUUGCAUACACAUCUUAAGAAAAUCCUCUCAAUUGGAUAAAGUGAAGAGUUGAUUUUAACCAGGCAUAUCCAGGAUAAGGUUGUAGUGAUUGUUUCUUUUUGAAAUGUUCAAGCAGAAUGAAUUCAUUGUGUUGCCUCGACCUUAUGUUUCAGUCAAGCACACAGCACAGUGACAUUUCUGUAUGUUUAUUGACCUGAGUGGUAACGAAUACAUGGUGAACAUUAUAAAAUCAAUAACGUCUUCAAGGUACAGUACAAGUACAACAAAUUACAAUUCACUGCAUAAAAGGUACAGAAAAACUUUUCAUAAACAGUUUCUUUUGAAAACAGAACAUUGUAUAAAUUUACAUUCAGGGUAGAGUAUCUGCAUUUCUAAUUUUCUCUUCAGGGGACUGCAAAGUAGUAUUCUUUGACACAUACUGUAUUUCUCUUCCACAAAGUCUUGCUUUCAGAUAAGGUUAAAAAAUCAGAUGAAUAAAUAUUAAAAAACCUUUUCAUGCA